Zingiber officinale is the source of this 508-nucleotide long non-coding RNA. RefSeq lists it as uncharacterized. The record is from RefSeq and is a predicted model, not a curated record. Lineage: Eukaryota; Viridiplantae; Streptophyta; Magnoliopsida; Zingiberales; Zingiberaceae. The transcript has 3 exons.
ACUUCAAUGAAAUGAGGAUCUGUGAUCGUGAAGUGGAUUCAGCAGAGGUGUUCUGUAGACUGUGAGGUUCCUUGUUCUUGAUUCCAGUAAGGUUGGGUGCUGUGGAUUAACAAGCAUGACUGUGUACUGUGGGUGUUGGUUCAACUCUACUUGUUCCAGCAUCCAGUAGUUGAGAUUGAGGACUCUGAUUCGAGACGGCGUCUCGACGUCGACUUUGGAUUGCAUGAUUUGUACCUUCUAUUUGAGACGGGUUGAGGCCGUUAGGAGAGAUUCCAGUCGCUAGCCCCUUCGUUAUGAGGAUUUCUUAUUUUAGUUUUCUGUUAUUGUUUCUACGCAUAUACUGAUGAUGUGGGUUUGUAUUGUGGACAUUGAACAUUCGGGUUUGCUACUUUUGUUUUCCGCUACGGAUUUUUCUCAUUACUUUGUGGAUUUGUUUUCUUCGUUGUAGUGGAGUAGGAUGUUUACAUAUAUCUUCGAGGAUUCUAUAUCGUCAUUCCUUAUUAAACUG